This 483-nucleotide ribosomal RNA is filed under the name uncultured bacterium. RNAcentral's name for it is "partial 16S ribosomal RNA". It matches the Rfam family "Bacterial small subunit ribosomal RNA", at positions 28 to 507 of the family's 1533-position model. The record is from RNAcentral.
GACGAACGCUGGCGGCGUGCUUAACACAUGCAAGUCGAACGCUGAAGCUCAGCUUUUGUUGGGUGGAUGAGUGGCGAACGGGUGAGUAACACGUGAGUAACCUGCCCCCUUCUUUGGGAUAACGCCCGGAAACGGGUGCUAAUACUGGAUAUUCACUGGUCUUCGCAUGGGGGUUGGUGGAAAGGGUUUUUCUGGUGGGGGAUGGGCUCGCGGCCUAUCAGCUUGUUGGUGGGGUGAUGGCCCACCAAGGCUUUGACGGGUAGCCGGCCUGAGAGGGUGACCGGUCACAUUGGGACUGAGAUACGGCCCGGACUCCUACGGGAGGCAGCAGUGGGGAAUAUUGCACGAUGGGCGCAAGCCUGAUGCAGCGACGCCGCGUGAGGGAUGGAGGCCGUCGGGUUGUGAACCUCUUUCGCUCAUGGUCAAGCCGCAACAAUGGUUGUGGUGAGGGUAGUGGGUAAAGAAGCGCCGGCUAACUACGUG